CUGCUAAGACUGGAUAGGAGAUAAGAAGGCAUCUUUUUAUUUUUAAAAGACCUAGCAAUAGGUAUGCUUAGGGAAGAGCUUGCGUCACAUUAGUUAGUUGGUGGGGUAAUGGCCUACCAAGACGAUGAUGUGUAGCCGGGCUGAGAGGUCGAACGGCCACAUUGGGACUGAGACACGGCCCAAACUCCUACGGGAGGCAGCAGUAAGGAAUUUUCGGCAAUGGAGGAAACUCUGACCGAGCAAUGCCGCGUGAACGAUGAAGUAUUUCGGUACGUAAAGUUCUUUUAUUAGGGAAGAAAAGAUGGUGGAAAAACCAUUAUGACGGUACCUAAUGAAUAAGCCCCGGCUAACUAUGUGCCAGCAGCCGCGGUAAUACAUAAGGGGCAAGCGUUAUCCGGAAUUAUUGGGCGUAAAGGGUGCGUAGGCGGUUAAAUAAGUUUAUGGUCUAAGUGCAACGCUCAACGUUGUGAUGCUAUAAAAACUGUUUAGCUAGAGUUGGAUAGAGGCAAGUGGAAUUCCGUGUGUAGUGGUAAAAUGCGUAAAUAUACGGAGGAACACCAGAAGCGAAGGCGGCUUGCUGGGUCUUAACUGACGCUGAGGCACGAAAGCGUGGGGAGCAAACAGGAUUAGAUACCCUGGUAGUCCACGCCCUAAACGAUGAGUACUAAACGUUGGAUAAAACCAGUGUUGAAGUUAACACAUUAAGUACUCCGCCUGAGUAGUACGUACGCAAGUAUGAAACUUAAAGGAAUUGACGGGACUCCGCACAAGCGGUGGAUCAUGUUGUUUAAUUCGAAGGUACCCGAAAAACCUCACCAGGUCUUGACAUGCUUUUGCAAAGCUGUAGAAAUACAGUGGAGGUUAUCAGAAGCACAGGUGGUGCAUGGUUGUCGUCAGCUCGUGUCGUGAGAUGUUGGGUUAAGUCCCGCAACGAGCGCAACCCUUGUUGUUAAUUGCCAUCAUUAAGUUGGGGACUUUAGCAAGACUGCCAAUGAUAAAUUGGAGGAAGGUGGGGACGACGUCAAAUCAUCAUGCCCCUUAUGACCUGGGCUACAAACGUGAUACAAUGGCUGUUACAAAGGGUAGCUAAAGCGUAAGCUUCUGGCGAAUCUCAAAAAAGCAGUCUCAGUUCGGAUUGAAGUCUGCAACUCGACUUCAUGAAGUUGGAAUCGCUAGUAAUCGCGAAUCAGCAUGUCGCGGUGAAUACGUUCUCGGGG
RNAcentral lists this ribosomal RNA (1217 nucleotides) under Candidatus Phytoplasma solani. RNAcentral describes it as "bacterial SSU rRNA". It matches the Rfam family "Bacterial small subunit ribosomal RNA", at positions 160 to 1379 of the family's 1533-position model. The record is from RNAcentral. Lineage: Bacteria; Bacillati; Mycoplasmatota; Mollicutes; Acholeplasmatales; Acholeplasmataceae.